This 253-nucleotide ribosomal RNA is filed under the name uncultured bacterium. RNAcentral's name for it is "partial 16S ribosomal RNA". It matches the Rfam family "Bacterial small subunit ribosomal RNA", at positions 524 to 776 of the family's 1533-position model. The record is from RNAcentral.
UACGGAGGGUGCUAGCGUUGUUCGGAAUUACUGGGCGUAAAGCGCGCGUAGGCGGCUUUGCAAGUUAGAGGUGAAAGCCCGGGGCUCAACUCCGGAAUUGCCUUUAAAACUGCAUCGCUAGAAUUGUGGAGAGGUAAGUGGAAUUCCGAGUGUAGAGGUGAAAUUCGUAGAUAUUCGGAAGAACACCAGUGGCGAAGGCGACUUACUGGACACAUAUUGACGCUGAGGUGCGAAAGCGUGGGGAGCAAACAGG